GAUGAACGCUGGCGGCGUGCCUAAUACAUGCAAGUCGAGCGAACAGAUGAGGAGCUUGCUCCUCUGACGUUAGCGGCGGACGGGUGAGUAACACGUGGAUAACCUACCUAUAAGACUGGGAUAACUUCGGGAAACCGGAGCUAAUCCCGGAUAAUCUAUUGAACCGCAUGGUUCAAUAGUGAAAGACGGUUUUGCUGUCACUUAUAGAUGGAUCCGCGCCGCAUUAGCUAGUUGGUAAGGUAACGGCUUACCAAGGCAACGAUGCGUAGCCGACCUGAGAGGGUGAUAGGCCACACGGGAACUGAGACACGGUCCAGAGGCCUGCGGGAGGCAGCAGUAGGGAAUCUUCCGCAAUGGGCGAAAGCCUGACGGAGCAACGCCGCGUGAGUGAUGAAGGUCUUGGGAUCGGAAAACUCUGUUAUGAGGGAAGAACAAAUGUGUAAGGAACUAUGCACGUCGUGACGGUACCUAAUCAGAAAGCCACGGCUAACUACGUG
Molecule: ribosomal RNA, 497 nt
Filed under: uncultured bacterium
Lineage: Bacteria
Description: partial 16S ribosomal RNA
Rfam family: Bacterial small subunit ribosomal RNA
Source: RNAcentral